This 527-nucleotide ribosomal RNA is filed under the name uncultured bacterium. RNAcentral's name for it is "partial 16S ribosomal RNA". It matches the Rfam family "Bacterial small subunit ribosomal RNA", at positions 355 to 870 of the family's 1533-position model. The record is from RNAcentral.
UGGGGAAUAUUGCACAAUGGGCGCAAGCCUGAUGCAGCCAUGCCGCGUGUGUGAAGAAGGCCUUCGGGUUGUAAAGCACUUUCAGCGAGGAGGAAGGGUUCAGUGUUAAUAGCACUGUUCAUUGACGUUACUCGCAGAAGAAGCACCGGCUAACUCCGUGCCAGCAGCCGCGGUAAUACGGAGGGUGCAAGCGUUAAUCGGAAUUACUGGGCGUAAAGCGCACGCAGGCGGUUUGUUAAGUCAGAUGUGAAAUCCCCGCGCUUAACGUGGGAACUGCAUUUGAAACUGGCAAGCUAGAGUCUUGUAGAGGGGGGUAGAAUUCCAGGUGUAGCGGUGAAAUGCGUAGAGAUCUGGAGGAAUACCGGUGGCGAAGGCGGCCCCCCUGGACAAAAGACUGACGCUCAGGUGCGAAAGCGUGGGGAGCAAAACAGGAUUAGAUACCCUGGUAGUCCACGCUGUAAAACGAUGUCGACUUGGAGGUUGUGCCCUUGAGGCGUGGCUUCCGGAGCUAACGCGUUAAGUCGACC